GAUGAAGAACGUAGCGAAAUGCGAUAAGUAAUGUGAAUUGCAGAAUUCAGUGAAUCAUCGAAUCUUUGAACGCACAUUGCGCCCGCCAGUAUUCUGGCGGGCAUGCCUGUUCGAGCGUCAUUACAACCCUCAGGCCCCCGGGCCUGGCGUUGGGGAUCGGCGGAAGCCCCCUGUGGGCACACGCCGUCCCUCAAAUACAGUGGCGGUCCCGCCGCAGCUUCCAUUGCGUUGUAGCUAACACCUCGCAACUGGAGAGCGGCGCGGCCAUGCCGUAAAACACCCAACUUCUGAAUGUUGACCUCGAAUCAGGUAGGAAUACCCGCUGAACUUAAGCAUAUCAAUAAGCGGAGGA
RNAcentral lists this unclassified non-coding RNA (352 nucleotides) under soil metagenome. Its description in RNAcentral is "partial contains 5.8S ribosomal RNA, internal transcribed spacer 2, and large subunit ribosomal RNA". The stretch from base 1 to 120 matches the Rfam family "5.8S ribosomal RNA", at positions 35 to 154 of the family's 154-position model. The record is from RNAcentral.